UACAGAGAGCUGCAAGCUGUUAUUCGGAAUUCACUGGGCGUAAAGGGGUGCGCAGGCGGUUGGGUGUGUCAGGAUGUGAAAUCCCGAGGCUUAAACCUCGGAACUGCGUCUGAAACUACGUCGACUAGAGUACUGGAGAGGGAAACGGAAUUCACGGUGUAGCAGUGAAAUGCGUAGAUAUCGUGAGGAACACCAGAGGCGAAGGCGGUUUCCUGGACAGUUACUGACGGCUCAGGCACGAAAGCAUGGGGAGCAAAAGGG
RNAcentral lists this ribosomal RNA (261 nucleotides) under uncultured bacterium. RNAcentral's name for it is "partial 16S ribosomal RNA". It matches the Rfam family "Bacterial small subunit ribosomal RNA", at positions 524 to 776 of the family's 1533-position model. The record is from RNAcentral.